CCCCAUCCUGCUGGAAACUGUAGCACUUUUCUGGAGAAUAUUUAAAACAUGCCAUAGAUGGCGGGCUGUGGUGGGUUAGAAGGAUUGUUAAUAUUCUAGGGGCAAACUAUAUAAUCCCAAGACAUGGACCAAUUUGAAAUGUUCUUGGUACAGCACACUGUACAGUAUGAUCCACCUGUAAUGAACAAUUUCCACAUUUAUCAGGUUUUGGGGCUUUUUUCAUGGCAGCAGUGCUGAUGUCUGGGUGUCAGCGUUUGGAUAUGUGGGAAACGAGGUAAGAGCCUAAAUAAUACAUGUUACUUGCGGGGCUGGAAACUAGAGCCAUAUCCUAUGGCCUUCUAAUUAAAACUCUUUAUUUCCACAGAUUUAUUCUGUGGGCCUUACUAAAUAGAUCAGCCUGGGGUUUCUAAUGGUGACUACUUGAGGAGGAAUGUCGCCUUUGUUCCCCUGAAUGGUGGGGAGCAGAUUACCGGGCUGCCAAUUUCCUGCUGCCUUUCAGAGCUGCAAUUUGAGCCCUAUUUGCUCCUGGCUCUUGCACAAUUGGAAACAAUGGGUGGCUUCUUUCAGGUUUCACUUCAGAGCUCUUAGAAACUGGGGAAGUGGCAAAAGCCCUACUUUACAGAGCUGAUAAAGGUAGAAGUACACACCGAGCUCCCAAUACAGAACCCGCACGGGCAGUUUUGUGGAUGCAGUCCCGGCCACAACCCCAGCAAGGUGAUGGUGUGGGUCAAAGCUCCAAGCAAAGGCAGGGAAAGCCACACCAGAAGAGCUGCUGGGCUGCCAGCAAUGCUGAGGGCCCCGCUCCAUUCCUUGCUGAUGAUUUAGGAAGACAGAGAAGAUCUGAAUGAACAAGGAACACGCCCAUCACCUUUCCCACUUGUAAGUCUGCAAGUGCUUCUGUGAGAUGCCAACGCAAAGGGUUCCUCUGGCUCUUCUGUGCUUAUGGACAAUGCAGUUCUAUAAUAUAAUAAAACAAUAAUGAAAAUGUCU
Prinia subflava (tawny-flanked prinia) is the source of this 990-nucleotide long non-coding RNA. RefSeq lists it as uncharacterized. The transcript is spliced from 3 exons. Lineage: Eukaryota; Metazoa; Chordata; Aves; Passeriformes; Cisticolidae. The record is from RefSeq and is a predicted model, not a curated record.